Hyla sarda is the source of this 332-nucleotide long non-coding RNA. RefSeq lists it as uncharacterized. The record is from RefSeq and is a predicted model, not a curated record. Lineage: Eukaryota; Metazoa; Chordata; Amphibia; Anura; Hylidae. The transcript has 3 exons.
GAUCGCACUGCUCGCACACAGCAGACUCUUGUCAGAGCGCCCAAGCCUGGAGGCUGUGGCGGCUACAAAAUGUUUAUUUUCCCCUCUGCAGGUUCCAUCGCUAAUAAUUAGUUGUCCCUGAGUGAGUGUGUGGAGCUUAGCCUCGAUGAUGUUUCCUGUACACUGCACAUACAGAGGAGAUCCUGUCCCCAUAUAUUUCUAUAAAACACACUGAAAAAGGGCAUCAGCAGCAAUGGAGGACAUUAUCAAGUCGUACUGAGCAGUGCACCUUGUGAAGCCAGCACUGAGAUCAGACAAUACAUCAGAACAUCCACGUGAUAUGUCCAGUGCUG